AUGCACCACCCUGGGAACGCCCAGUAUACAGGAACUUUUGUUCUUUAUAAGCUUACCAUUGUUAGUUUUUAUAGUUUUUGUUUGUACCCUAAAUUUCUGCUAAGUUUCCAAAUUGAAUGUCUCAUAACUUCUGUUUUCUUCAUCUCUAACAACUGGAUUAAAAUAAAAUGUGGCUGCUUUUUUGUCUUUUGUUGUUGUUCUCAGGAAAGUCAUAUCCCAAAACUCAUUACACCUGCAGAAAAAGGAAGACAUUUAGAAUCACGACUCAUAGAAGCAUAUGUUAUUCAGUGUCAGGCCAAAGCUCAAGAAGUAACAAUUGCUUGAGCAAUUGAACUAAAACAUGCUCCUGGACUAAUUGCUGCACCGGCGUAUGAAACAGCCAAUUUCUAUAAAAAAGCUGAUCAUACUUUAUCCAGUUUGGAGCCUGCAUAUUCUUCUAAAUGGAGAAAAGAAAAUAUCUUCACUUGAAGAUGUGUUUCUACACAGCUUAUGCUUACUGUUAUCAUGGUCAGACUUUAUUGGCUAGUGAUAAAUGUGGUGAAGCAAUCAGGUCUCUUCAAGAAGCAGAAAAAUUAUAUGCAAAGGCAGAAGCACUGUGUAAAGAAUAUGGAGAAACCAAAGGACCUGGACCAACAAUCAAACCUUCAGGACAUCUGUUCUUUAGGAAGCUUGGAAACCUUGUGAAGAACACCCUAGAAAAAUGUCAGAGAGAAAAUGGAUUUAUUUACUUUCAAAAAAUUCCAACAGAAGCCCCACAGCUGGAACUCAAAGCAAAUUAUGGUCUCGUAGAGCCUGUAUCUUUCGAAUUUCCUCCUACAAGUGCUCAGUGGACACCAGAAACAUUGGCUGCAUUUGAUCUCACCAAAAGACCCAAGGAUGACAGUACUAAACCCAAACCAGAAGAAGAAGGAAAACCUGUAAAAGAACCAGAUAUCAAACCUCAAAAGGACACUGGGUGCUAUAUCUCCUAAAAUACAGUUUGCACUUUGAAUUUCUCUAGCCGUAGAUAAGAUAAACCACAAAA
Callithrix jacchus (white-tufted-ear marmoset) is the source of this 1024-nucleotide non-coding RNA. NCBI's taxonomy places the organism in Eukaryota, Metazoa, Chordata, Mammalia, Primates, Cebidae. The record is from RefSeq and is a predicted model, not a curated record.